AACUAGUAAAUAAAACGUCCUUUAUGUACGUUAAAAAUCCAUCGUGGAAUGCGAGAGUUCGACGAGACCUCUUAUCACACUUUCUAAUCUCAACGUAUGAAGGUCGCGGGAACGCUACUGAUACCAAAACAUUAUAUCGACUUAAUUAGAAGUGUACAGUGUACUGUCUAAUCAAUCAAGUUGUGUCCUCCGUACUAGCAACAUCGUACCGGUAAUAGGCAAGAAGAACAAGAGGAGGAAGAAGAAGAAGAGGAGAAAUAGUACGAAGCUUCUCUUAAACAUUAAAACUAUUUUAUUACCUACAUCAUUGAUGACCUAUGCUCUUUGCCAUCACGUACUCGUAAUGUUCUACUGUCAUUGGACGAUCGAGUGACCCGCGAUAGCGGUUGUCAACGUCGACGCAUUCUUCCUUUCAACCAUUUUUAUGAAAACGAUCCAAGGUUCUUUUAUGUAUAUAUUAUCCACAUACAUAUACACACGUACGUAUUUCUAUCUUAAACAUUGAAUAUCGAACGGAUUGUCAUGGAUUUUAACGACGUUUUGUUUAACGUUCCCCUUCGAAAAGACAGGAGAAUAAAUUUCAUGCGAAUAAUAGAAACGUUCAGUUCGUGUUAUUGUAAAGACCGCCAUUUAUAGACGAUUUAGCAACUUUGAAGGGCAUUCGAAUCAACCACGUGUACGAGAGUUUAUUUACGAAAGCAAGCUUUAGGUCAGAGAGAGAAAGAGAAAGAAGAUACAAUAGAGUCAUUAUAUACGUUACCCAGUGUGCGUUUCUCUCUCUUUCUGCCGAAAGCGUGCGAGAUUCGCGAGCUAACUGACCGGCAAAAGGGUGGAAGAUGUCCGACGAUUAACCGAAUGAAGACCGAGACUGUGCCCGUGUACUCGACAAAAACUUUCGUAGUAAUAAAGUCGAAUAAGAGGAUUUCGACGUUAUUCUCAUAAUGGACCAUUUAUUGAUUUAACUAAUCAAAAUUUAGGGAUGAAGGAUUAUUCUUUUUUUUUUUUUACGACAAACGAAAGAUCACAAUGAAGACGACGUUGAAUAUUUAACGAUGGAACAGGAAACUUAUCUUUUCGAACAUAACAAUAAGCCAUCCUUCGUUAUACUUCAUGUCUCUCAUUACACUAAUCGUAUUAAAGUCCAUUAUGUAUGUGCGUGUGUGUGUGUGUAUGCGCGCAUACGAUUAUAACAGAUGGUUUGAAUAAACAAGCAUUGAUUUUUCCUUUA
This is a long non-coding RNA of Vespula pensylvanica (western yellowjacket), 1228 nucleotides long. RefSeq lists it as uncharacterized. The transcript is spliced from 2 exons. The record is from RefSeq and is a predicted model, not a curated record. Lineage: Eukaryota; Metazoa; Arthropoda; Insecta; Hymenoptera; Vespidae.